RNAcentral lists this transfer RNA (75 nucleotides) under Herbivorax alkaliphila. RNAcentral describes it as "tRNA-Arg". It matches the Rfam family "tRNA". Rfam says of the family: Transfer RNA (tRNA) molecules are approximately 80 nucleotides in length. Their secondary structure includes four short double-helical elements and three loops (D, anti-codon, and T loops). Further hydrogen bonds mediate the characteristic L-shaped molecular structure. tRNAs have two regions of fundamental functional importance: the anti-codon, which is responsible for specific mRNA codon recognition, and the 3' end, to which the tRNAs corresponding amino acid is attached (by aminoacyl-tRNA synthetases). tRNAs cope with the degeneracy of the genetic code in two manners: having more than one tRNA (with a specific anti-codon) for a particular amino acid; and 'wobble' base-pairing, i.e. permitting non-standard base-pairing at the 3rd anti-codon position. The record is from RNAcentral. Lineage: Bacteria; Bacillati; Bacillota; Clostridia; Acetivibrionales; Acetivibrionaceae.
GUCCCGGUGGUCUAAUGGAUAAGACGGUAGAUUCCGGUUCUAUUGAUACGGGUUCGAUUCCUGUCCGGGACACCA